AAACAAUUAGCACCCCUCCUUAUGUCGCACCAAACCUUAUGGUAAUUCUCUUUAGACCUUGUUGCACAAAAAAUGUCUUAAAUCACUGGUGAUAAGGUCCCUUCCCAUCUUAUACUUGAUGCCACAAUCCGAUUAAGAGACCCAAUUAAUUUAGGACUUUGGUUCAAAUCUAAUUUGAACCAGAUUGGAUCUCAUCCAAUCACCUAAGAAAUCAAAAGGGGAAAGC
Molecule: long non-coding RNA, 226 nt
Filed under: Elaeis guineensis (African oil palm)
Lineage: Eukaryota; Viridiplantae; Streptophyta; Magnoliopsida; Arecales; Arecaceae
Description: long non-coding RNA (EGUI_LNC033667)
Source: RNAcentral